CGCGGGAUGGAGCAGUAUGGUAGCUCGUCGGGCUCAUAACCCGAAGGUCGUUGGUUCAAAUCCGGCUCCCGCAACCA
RNAcentral lists this transfer RNA (77 nucleotides) under Proteus mirabilis. RNAcentral describes it as "tRNA-Met". It matches the Rfam family "tRNA". From Rfam's summary of the family: Transfer RNA (tRNA) molecules are approximately 80 nucleotides in length. Their secondary structure includes four short double-helical elements and three loops (D, anti-codon, and T loops). Lineage: Bacteria; Pseudomonadati; Pseudomonadota; Gammaproteobacteria; Enterobacterales; Morganellaceae. RNAcentral also lists the same sequence under 1 other name. The record is from RNAcentral.